This 2510-nucleotide ribosomal RNA is filed under the name mine drainage metagenome. Its description in RNAcentral is "bacterial LSU rRNA". It matches the Rfam family "Bacterial large subunit ribosomal RNA", at positions 166 to 2532 of the family's 2925-position model. The record is from RNAcentral.
AUAGGGCCAGAGGAGGGAACCGGGGGAAUUGAAACAUCUAAGUACCCCGAGGAGAGGAAAGCAACAGCGACUCCCUGAGUAGCGGCGAGCGAAAAGGGAAGAGCCUAAACCGGACCAGUGCCAAGCCUGGUGGCCUUGCUGGUCCGGGGUCGUGGGAAGUCGGGUGGGGGGGCACCAGACCCUUCGCAGAGUUACAAAGCAGCGGUCUAGUGGAAGUGUUCUGGAACGGCACGCCAUAGCGGGUAAGAGCCCCGUACGCGAAAGACACGCAGACUCCGUCCGAUUCUCCCGAGUAGCGCCGGAUCCGGGAAAGCCGGCGUGAAUCUACGAGGACCACCUCGAAAGGCUAAGUACUCACAGGCGACCGAUAGCGAACUAGUACCGUGAGGGAAAGGUGAAAAGCACCCCGGGAGGGGAGUGAAAUAGUACCUGAAACCGUUGGCUUACAAACAGUCAGAGCGUCGUCGAUGCCCUCGGGCAUCGGCCGUGAUGGCGUGCCUUUUGAAGAAUGAGCCAGCGAGUUACCGUGCGUGGCGAGGUUAACCCGUAUGGGGGAGCCGGAGCGAAAGCGAGUCUGAACAGGGCGUUUAGUCGCGUGCGGUAGACCCGAAGCCGAGUGAUCUAGCCAUGGGCAGGCUGAAGCGGGGGUAAGACCCCGUGGAGGGCCGAACCCACCUCAGUUGAAAAUGAGGGGGAUGACCUGUGGUUAGGGGUGAAAGGCCAAUCAAACUCGGUGAUAGCUGGUUCUCCCCGAAAUGCAUUUAGGUGCAGCGUCAGUCGUUCAGCAUCGGAGGUAGAGCACUGAAUGGGCUAGGGGGCCUACAAGCUUACUGACCCCAAUCAAACUCCGAAUGCCGAUGCUCCAGAGACUGGCAGUGAGACCACGAGGGAUGAGCUUCGUUGGUCGAGAGGGAAACAGCCCAGAUCUUCAGCUAAGGCCCCUAAAUUCUGGACUAAGUGGAAAACGAUGUGAGAACGCUCAGACAGCCAGAAGGUUGGCUUAGAAGCAGCCAUCCUUUAAAGAGUGCGUAAUAGCUCACUGGUCGAGUGGUCUUGCGCGGAAAAUGUAACGGGGCUCAAGUCCAGAGCCGAAGCUAAGAAUUGCGUCCAUACGGACGUAGUGGUAGGGGAGCGUCGAACCUGCUGUGAAGCGGAGGUGUGAACCUCCGUGGAGCGCGUUCGAGUGAGAAUGCUGGUAUGAGUAGCGAGAGAGGGGUGAGAAACCCCUCCGCCGUAAGCCCAAGGGUUCCUGGGGAAGGCUAAUCCCCCCAGGGUCAGUCGGGAGCUAAGGCGAGGCCGAGAGGCGUAGUCGAUGCACAACAGGUUGAUAUUCCUGUACCACCGUGUCCGCGCCCAUUCCAAUGUGGGGGUACUAAGGGGCUGACCUUCGGGUCGAUCCGACCAACCCUGCGGCGGGAAGCGAAGGAGGGACGGAGGAGGAUAGGUGAGCCCAGGCGUUGGUUGUCCUGGGGUAAGUGUGUAGGGCGGGGUCCAGGCAAAUCCGGAUCCCACGUAGCCUGAGACACGAUGCCGAGCCAUUAGGCGGAAGUCACUGAUUCCAUGCUCCCAAGAAAAUCUUCUAGCGAGUUGACACGGUGCCCGUACCCCAAACCGACACAGGUGGGCGGGUAGAGAAUACCAAGGCGAUCGGGAGAACUGUAGUUAAGGAACUCGGCAAAAUGCAUCCGUAACUUCGGGAGAAGGAUGGCCUUACUAGCGUGAAGGACUUCGCGUCCGGAGCGUGAGAAGGUCGCAGAGAAUUGUGGGAAGCGACUGUUUACCAAAAACACAGGAGCGUGCUAAGUCGUAAGACGCCGUAUACGCUCUGACGCCUGCCCGGUGCUGGAAGGUUACGGGGACCGGUUAGCUCUUAGGAGCGAAGCUGGGAACCUAAGCCCCAGUAAACGGCGGCCGUAACUAUAACGGUCCUAAGGUAGCGAAAUUCCUUGUCGGGUAAGUUCCGACCUGCACGAAUGGCGUAACGACUUCCCAACUGUCUCAACUACAGACCCGGCGAAAUUGAAGUACGAGUAAAGAUGCUCGUUAGCUGCAUCAGGACGGAAAGACCCCGUGCACCUUUACUACAACUUGAUGUUGGGUUUUGGUUCAGUUUGUGUAGGAUAGGUGGGAGGCUUUGAAGCGUCGGCGCUAGCCGAUGUGGAGCCAACGUUGAAAUACCACCCUUUCUGCACCGGAGCCCUAACCUUGAUCCGUGAUCCGGAUUAGGAACAGCGUCAGGCGGGUAGUUUGACUGGGGCGGUCGCCUCCUAAAAUGUAACGGAGGCGCCCAAAGGUUCCCUCAAGCUGGUUGGCAAUCAGCUGUUGAGUGCAAUGACACAAGGGAGCUUGACUGCGAGACUUACAGGUCGAGCAGGUACGAAAGUAGGGCAUAGUGAUCCGGCGGUCGCUUGUGGAAGCGCCGUCGCUCAACGGAUAAAAGGUACGCCGGGGAUAACAGGCUUAUCUUCCCCAAGAGUCCAUAUCGACGGGAAGGUUUGGCACCUCGAUGU